Molecule: ribosomal RNA, 1274 nt
Filed under: Serratia entomophila
Lineage: Bacteria; Pseudomonadati; Pseudomonadota; Gammaproteobacteria; Enterobacterales; Yersiniaceae
Description: bacterial SSU rRNA
Rfam family: Bacterial small subunit ribosomal RNA
Source: RNAcentral
AGAGUUUGAUCAUGGCUCAGAUUGAACGCUGGCGGCAGGCCUAACACAUGCAAGUCGAGCGGUAGCACGGGAGAGCUUGCUCUCUGGGUGACGAGCGGCGGACGGGUGAGUAAUGUCUGGGAAACUGCCUGAUGGAGGGGGAUAACUACUGGAAACGGUAGCUAAUACCGCAUAACGUCUACGGACCAAAGUGGGGGACCUUCGGGCCUCACGCCAUCAGAUGUGCCCAGAUGGGAUUAGCUAGUAGGUGGGGUAAUGGCUCACCUAGGCGACGAUCCCUAGCUGGUCUGAGAGGAUGACCAGCCACACUGGAACUGAGACACGGUCCAGACUCCUACGGGAGGCAGCAGUGGGGAAUAUUGCACAAUGGGCGCAAGCCUGAUGCAGCCAUGCCGCGUGUGUGAAGAAGGCCUUCGGGUUGUAAAGCACUUUCAGCGAGGAGGAAGGGCGAUGUCUUAAUACGGCAUCGCAUUGACGUUACUCGCAGAAGAAGCACCGGCUAACUCCGUGCCAGCAGCCGCGGUAAUACGGAGGGUGCAAGCGUUAAUCGGAAUUACUGGGCGUAAAGCGCACGCAGGCGGUUUGUUAAGUCAGAUGUGAAAUCCCCGCGCUUAACGUGGGAACUGCAUUUGAAACUGGCAAGCUAGAGUCUCGUAGAGGGGGGUAGAAUUCCAGGUGUAGCGGUGAAAUGCGUAGAGAUCUGGAGGAAUACCGGUGGCGAAGGCGGCCCCCUGGACGAAGACUGACGCUCAGGUGCGAAAGCGUGGGGAGCAAACAGGAUUAGAUACCCUGGUAGUCCACGCUGUAAACGAUGUCGAUUUGGAGGUUGUGCCCUUGAGGCGUGGCUUCCGGAGCUAACGCGUUAAAUCGACCGCCUGGGGAGUACGGCCGCAAGGUUAAAACUCAAAUGAAUUGACGGGGGCCCGCACAAGCGGUGGAGCAUGUGGUUUAAUUCGAUGCAACGCGAAGAACCUUACCUACUCUUGACAUCCAGAGAACUUNGCGAGAGUAAGCGGACCUCAUAAAGUACGUCGUAGUCCGGAUUGGAGUCUGCAACUCGACUCCAUGAAGUCGGAAUCGCUAGUAAUCGUAGAUCAGAAUGCUACGGUGAAUACGUUCCCGGGCCUUGUACACACCGCCCGUCACACCAUGGGAGUGGGUUGCAAAAGAAGUAGGUAGCUUAACCUUCGGGAGGGCGCUUACCACUUUGUGAUUCAUGACUGGGGUGAAGUCGUAACAAGGUAACCGUAGGGGAACCUGCGGUUGGAUCACCU